This is a long non-coding RNA of Bolinopsis microptera, 812 nucleotides long. RefSeq lists it as uncharacterized. The transcript has 4 exons. NCBI's taxonomy places the organism in Eukaryota, Metazoa, Ctenophora, Tentaculata, Lobata, Bolinopsidae. The record is from RefSeq and is a predicted model, not a curated record.
CCUCCCGCCAUAAGACUGUGCCGUCUUGGUGACCUUGAGAAUAUCAUAAGGUCCGAUAUAUAAAAGCACUAUCCAAUAUCGAGACCCACUCAGGAUCCCAAACCACGACUCCUUUCGGUCGUCUGUACUUGCUUUUUUCCUCCCAGCAUGGACUAAGUCAAUGAUACUGUCUUACAUCGCUGGCCUUGUUCUUAUAAGUGUUCACUCGGCGCUCACAAGAUAACAUGUUCAGAGAUCUGUUGCAGAACCUUGUCGUGCCGUCAUUUAUAUACUCCUUGACUAAGAGCUACUUUACACCUACAGCAAAAAUGUGCUAAAUGAUACCCAUCCUCUCCUCACAUUACUGUACUUGCACUUACCAUCCUCAUCUUCGCCAUAGAGGUGGUUAAGAGGGUGACGUACACAGCAUCUAGCACGAAUCCAAUAAGCAGCUAUCAAGUCUCAAGAUAUGACAUAAUUUGAUAGAAUGUUAGUACCAACGCUAUCAGUGCAUUGAAGUCGAGUUCUCGAUACAGGGAGCUGCUGGUAAACUACCGUCGCUAUACAUCGACUAUGACUACAAUCCUACUUUUAAAAACAAACUACAUACAUAUCUCACAUUUGCGAGGACUACUUCAUCACAAGCAAAAAAUCGACAUUGGUAAAUAAAGGUCUGUCUUCUAUAACCACGAUGAAAAGAAAAGCUGGGCGAAAACAUUUGAGACUGCAGAUUGCAGAACUGGAACACUCUAUUUGAAGACAGUGGCUGCUGAGUGCUGAGCUGCAUCAAAUCUAUCAGCAUCAUGUAACUUCGAUCAGGAACAGACUCCAUU